UACGUAGGGUCCGAGCGUUGUCCGGAAUCAUUGGGCGUAAAGCGCGUGUAGGCGGCUUGGCAAGUCAGUUGUGAAAGCCCGGGGCCCAACCCCGGAACUGCAUCUGAAACUGCUUGGCUCGAGUCCCGGAGAGGAAGGCAGAAUUCCCGGUGUAGGGGUGAAAUCCGUAGAUAUCGGGAGGAAUACCAGCGGCGAAGGCGGCCUUCUGGACGGUGACUGACGCUGAGACGCGAAAGCGUGGGGAGCAAACAGG
RNAcentral lists this ribosomal RNA (253 nucleotides) under uncultured bacterium. Its description in RNAcentral is "partial 16S ribosomal RNA". It matches the Rfam family "Bacterial small subunit ribosomal RNA", at positions 524 to 776 of the family's 1533-position model. The record is from RNAcentral.